CUGUCCAACGUUAAUCGGGGCAGGGUGAGUCGACCCCUAAGGCGAGGCCGAAAGGCGUAGUCGAUGGGAAACGGGUUAAUAUUCCCGUACUUGGUGUUACUGCGAAGGGGGGACGGAGAAGGCUAUGUUGGCCGGGCGACGGUUGUCCCGGUUUAAGCGUGUAGGUGUGUGUUCCAGGUAAAUCCGGUUCACUUUAACACUGAGGCGUGACGACGAGGCACUACGGUGCUGAAGCAACAAAUGCCCUGCUUCCAGGAAAAGCCUCUAAGCAUCAGGUAACAUCAAAUCGUACCCCAAACCGACACAGGUGGUCAGGUAGAGAAUACCAAGGCGCUUGAGAGAACUCGGGUGAAGGAACUAGGCAAAAUGGUGCCGUAACUUCGGGAGAAGGCACGCUGACACGUAGGUGAAGUGAUUUACUCAUGGAGCUGAAGUCAGUCGAAGAUACCAGCUGGCUGCAACUGUUUAUUAAAAACACAGCACUGUGCAAACACGAAAGUGGACGUAUACGGUGUGACGCCUGCCCGGUGCCGGAAGGUUAAUUGAUGGGGUCAGCGCAAGCGAAGCUCCUGAUCGAAGCCCCGGUAAACGGCGGCCGUAACUAUAACGGUCCUAAGGUAGCGAAAUUCCUUGUCGGGUAAGUUCCGACCUGCACGAAUGGCGUAAUGAUGGCCAGGCUGUCUCCACCCGAGACUCAGUGAAAUUGAACUCGCUGUGAAGAUGCAGUGUACCCGCGGCAAGACGGAAAGACCCCGUGAACCUUUACUAUAGCUUGACACUGAACAUUGAGCCUUGAUGUGUAGGAUAGGUGGGAGGCUUUGAAGUGUGGACGCCAGUCUGCAUGGAGCCGACCUUGAAAUACCACCCUUUAAUGUUUGAUGUUCUAACGUGGACCCGUUACCCGGGUUGCGGACAGUGUCUGGUGGGUAGUUUGACUGGGGCGGUCUCCUCCUAAAGAGUAACGGAGGAGCACGAAGGUUGGCUAAUCCUGGUCGGACAUCAGGAGGUUAGUGCAAUGGCAUAAGCCAGCUUGACUGCGAGCGUGACGGCGCGAGCAGGUGCGAAAGCAGGUCAUAGUGAUCCGGUGGUUCUGAAUGGAAGGGCCAUCGCUCAACGGAUAAAAGGUACUCCGGGGAUAACAGGCUGAUACCGCCCAAGAGUUCAUAUCGACGGCGGUGUUUGGCACCUCGAUGUCGGCUCAUCACAUCCUGGGGCUGAAGUAGGUCCCAAGGGUAUGGCUGUUCGCCAUUUAAAGUGGUACGCGAGCUGGGUUUAGAACGUCGUGAGACAGUUCGGUCCCUAUCUGCCGUGGGCGCUGGAGAACUGAGGGGGGCUGCUCCUAGUACGAGAGGACCGGAGUGGACGCAUCACUGGUGUUCGGGUUGUCAUGCCAAUGGCACUGCCCGGUAGCUAAAUGCGGAAGAGAUAAGUGCUGAAAGCAUCUAAGCACGAAACUUGCCCCGA
RNAcentral lists this ribosomal RNA (1464 nucleotides) under Salmonella enterica subsp. enterica serovar Enteritidis. Its description in RNAcentral is "partial 23S ribosomal RNA". It matches the Rfam family "Bacterial large subunit ribosomal RNA", at positions 1355 to 2802 of the family's 2925-position model. The record is from RNAcentral. Lineage: Bacteria; Pseudomonadati; Pseudomonadota; Gammaproteobacteria; Enterobacterales; Enterobacteriaceae.